This 253-nucleotide ribosomal RNA is filed under the name uncultured bacterium. RNAcentral describes it as "partial 16S ribosomal RNA". It matches the Rfam family "Bacterial small subunit ribosomal RNA", at positions 524 to 776 of the family's 1533-position model. The record is from RNAcentral.
UACGUAGGGGGCAAGCGUUGUCCGGAAUCAUUGGGCGUAAAGAGCGUGUAGGCGGCCAGAUAAGUCCGCUGUGAAAACUCGAGGCUCAACUUCGAGCUGUCGGUGGAAACUAUUUGGCUAGAGUCCGGAAGAGGAGAGUGGAAUUCCUGGUGUAGCGGUGAAAUGCGCAGAUAUCAGGAGGGACACCGGUGGCGAAGGCGGAUCUCUGGGCCGAUACUGACGCUGAGGAGCGAAAGCGUGGGGAGCGAACAGG